This is a long non-coding RNA of Bombyx mori (domestic silkworm), 2827 nucleotides long. RefSeq lists it as uncharacterized. The transcript has 2 exons. The record is from RefSeq and is a predicted model, not a curated record. NCBI's taxonomy places the organism in Eukaryota, Metazoa, Arthropoda, Insecta, Lepidoptera, Bombycidae.
AGUAAUGACGUAAUGCCAGUUUGUGUUGUCAGUAAUGGCACUGAGACUUGGUCGCUCACAAUGGGCCUUAUGAGAAGGCUCAAGUUCACCCAAAGAGCAAUGGAGAGGGUUAUGCUCGGAGUUUCCUUCCUUCCAGAAAUAAGGAGAUUCGCAGGAAAACCAUGACACUCGUAGCCGCAGCAAGACAAGAUAGGAACUAAUCAAUGAAGCUAAUCAGAACCAGGCCGGCAGUGUCAGGCAGUGUUAGGCGCCAGAAGAAUAGGAAUGAUAGCUUGCACGCCAGUCGGAACAGCUGGACCGCGACACCAACCCCAGCCGCUUCCGUGGCACGCUCCGCCGGUGACGACGGACCAGUGUAACAGCUUCUCCUUCUUCUUUCUUUGUCUGCACUCUCUGCACCUUUUCCCACUAGGUGGGGUCAGUAUUAACAGUAAAUUAUGUAAUAGCUUCUCUAUUUGUGACUAAAUAUACCAAAAUUACAAACUAAACUGAUGACAAUGUACAUAGUAAGCACAACAGUCAACAGUCCAUUUGAACGGUCUCUUCAGGAAUAAUUGCGUUACAGCACCGCUCCACCGUGCGGCUCGACGACGCACUAAUGCAAACACUGGACUGAUGAUUAACGACCCUGGAUCAGCGCUUAAUCUAUAUCGACAAUACAACUAACAACACAACGCUGGGAUUAUUCAGUAUGCUAAGUUCACGUAUUCGUCAGUACCGUCAAAUGAGUUUUGGGAGAUGCAGGAGAGGAGUGAGGAGACUUGCUUUUGCCCCAACAGACUACUGAUUUAUUAAAAGUUUGGACAACUUCUUAGCUGGGAAAAUAUUUAAUCCCUAAAGGCAUUACAAAACGAUUUUCAAGAAUAUGUUGGCUCCCGUACACCCGACUUCUCAAGAAAGCAAAAGCAUUAAAAAAUGACCACUGCAUCGGCAGAACUGCAUCAAUACUAUGGAUGCAUAUUUUGAUAGAUAGAAAUGGUUUUUAUUAUAAAAAAAAUGACUUUAACUUACUUUCUACUAAACGGUAAUUUCAUAGAUAUAGACCAGUAUUUUGUUUUUAAAACCACAAGGCCUUCAGCUAUAAAUUAAAUCGUACAUAUGGGCAAACAUUGAGAAUAGAGAAGUGUUGUUUUAAAAAUAAAUUUAAAAGUUUACUAAAAAAAUACAAACGUAAUCAAAAUAGACAAAUUUAUUGUCACCCGCUCUGAAUAAAAGAAGUUCAUUUUCGACAUAGACAUUUGUUUUUCAUAAAAUUCAAUUGUUGUAGUACUGUUUCUCUCAGUAUGAGAGUAUGUUCAAACAUAUAGCACAAUAGAGGUGUGAGCCGAAUAACGCGAUAGUAUCUGAGGCGAUAGGCGCUCAGUGUGCGGUUAUGAUUCAGUUCCGCUGAUAGAGACUUCACGCGUUCAAUAGAGCCGUGUAUUUGCUAUAGUUUGGUGAGUCGCCGUGUGAACUAUUGUUCAUAUUGUAAUAUGUUUCAAAGUUUUAUUAGAAUCUGUUUAUAUAAAUGAAACAUUCUAUGAUCCUCAGUACGUGGAGAUUUUUAAAAUAAUGCUUCAGAUUUAAGAGCAACAAUGGAAGAGAUGAAUUAGAUACAUUGUUAUAAUCAUAUGUGUACAUAUGUCUUUGGCGUAAUCAAGUAACAACACUCAGCCUUUUUAAAGGUCAGACUGAUAUGAAAGCAUUCCACUCCAACCCUCUUCACUCACAUCUGUCGUCGCGCCCGACCCGGUACUGCUGAGACCCCGUGCAAGGGAUCGUGGAACACGAAGAAAAGAUGUAAUUGUAAAUUCUUUGGUGAAGCUCAUGAGUGUCUCCCCGUCAUCGUGCUGUCUACACCUAAGCAGAUAAUAUUAUUACCACGGUUCUAUUACGAAGCAAAAAUAGUUUUUAAUAUCCAGUGAAAAAGACUAUUUUAGCUUGGACAAGCCAUCCAGAUGUACCGUUUUAAUUCUGGUGCUAGGUAAUACGUAUUGCAUACCUGUUGUGUUGUAUAGAUGAUUCAGAAAGUCAACUCGGUUCGAAAGUCGAUAUUUAGUUUUCAAUACAAAAGUUUUGAUGAGCCAAACUAAAAUACUCCGUAAUUCCGGCCCCAAAUUACGAUGACAUAGUGUGUUAUGGGAACCAGACACUGAUGUACACACUUGCAUAAGUUUAAAUAUAUGUACAUAUACAAAUAAUAGAUAGCCAGACAAAGAACAUACAAAUCAGUUCAUUAUUCCAAUGUUUGCCUGAUACGGGAAUCGAACCGACGAUCCUGGGCGCCACCGCACCAACGAUUCAAUCUGAGAACUGAUAAACACGACGAGCAGCCCUACAUUAUGGUGGCGAACCACUAGGUGAGAAACAUAUUGACGAUACACAAUAACCAUAACGAUAAAUAUCUGGAGCCAAGAUUGAAGGUAAGUAAAGGACGCUCUUAAGUCGUGAUGUCUUAUUUACGUUGACAUAAGACGGCUCGUAAGCUGAGAGAAGUGGCUCAUAACUCGACUUAUCGUCCGCAAUAGAUAUUGGAGUACCAGGAUAACAUAAGCCUUUAGACGUUUAUUGAACUACGCAAUGACGUUAUAGUGAAUGAAAUAUUGAGAAACUUCUAUUGGCGCACUAGUGGCCCUGGUAUAGUAAAAUGAUUACGCAUAUUGGUUUGUGUGAACGUUAUGUACAUUAGUAUUGCACUAAGUGAGAGUAUUUGAAUUUAAAAUGUUUAAAAGUGAUUCGUUUUACACGUAAGGAUAUAUUAUCUCUGUUUAAUAAUUAUAUGUUCUAGUCCGGAAAUGAAUAAACACACAACAUGCAUAGGCAUAACCAAAAGAUUCAUCUAUAAAAA